GUGUUUACUUCGGCAGCACAUAUACUAAAAUUGGAACGAUAAAGCAAAGAUUAGCAUGGCACCUGCUAAGGAUGACACGCAAAUUUGUGAAGCGUUCUAUAUUUUU
Molossus molossus (Pallas's mastiff bat) is the source of this 106-nucleotide small nuclear RNA. The record is from RefSeq and is a predicted model, not a curated record. Lineage: Eukaryota; Metazoa; Chordata; Mammalia; Chiroptera; Molossidae.